UACAGAGGUCUCAAGCGUUGUUCGGAUUCAUUGGGCGUAAAGGGUGCGUAGGUGGCGGGGCAAGUCUGGUGUGAAAUCCCGGGGCUCAACCCUGGAACUGCACUGGAUACUGCUUUGCUAGAGUACUGGAGAGGGAACUGGAAUUUACGGUGUAGCAGUGAAAUGCGUAGAUAUCGUAAGGAAGACCAGUGGCGAAGGCGAGUCUCUGGACAGUUACCGACGCUGAGGCACGAAGGCCAGGGGAGCAAACGGG
RNAcentral lists this ribosomal RNA (253 nucleotides) under uncultured bacterium. RNAcentral describes it as "partial 16S ribosomal RNA". It matches the Rfam family "Bacterial small subunit ribosomal RNA", at positions 524 to 776 of the family's 1533-position model. The record is from RNAcentral.